RNAcentral lists this ribosomal RNA (864 nucleotides) under Triticum aestivum (bread wheat). Its description in RNAcentral is "partial small subunit ribosomal RNA". Lineage: Eukaryota; Viridiplantae; Streptophyta; Magnoliopsida; Poales; Poaceae. The record is from RNAcentral.
AUGGACCUCUCCGGGCUUGAUGUCCCGUUCACCUGGGCUGAGAUCGUUAAAGCUAUCAACAAAGCCCCAAAUAAUAGGGGUCCGGGACCAGAUGGGUUCACCAACGAGUUCUACAAAGUCUUCAAAAACCUGCUCAAGGAUGAUCUUCUCAGUUUCUUCGAGGAUCUGCAUAGCAACUAUGUCAGCCUUGCCGAUAUCAAUACUGCAUAUAUCACUUUGCUUCCUAAAAAGGACACACCCUUGGACAUAAAGGAUUACAGGCCCAUUUCCCUGGUUCAUAGCUUGCCAAAGCUGGCUUCUAAGGUCUUGACCAAUCGGUUGCAGAAGCAAAUCCCGGAGCUCCUACACUCCUUGCAAUCUGGGUUUCUGAAAGGACGCUCCAUUAUUGAAAAUUUUGUGCUGGCCGCGGAGCUAAUUCAGUGUGCUCACAAAAGAAAUCUGCACGUUAUCGCUUUGAAGUUGGAUUUCCACAAAGCCUUCGACAGUGUUAGCUGGGACUGUCUAAGCCAAGUCCUGGUAGCAAGGGGCUUUCCACAGCCAUGGAGGCACUGGGUCAACAACCUGCUCUCCUCUGGUAGCCCAAGGGUCAUGAUCUAUGGGGAGCUGGGCCCACCCAUCCCUGCUAAGCGUGGCUUUAGGCAGGGUGACUCUAUGUCACCUUACCUCUUUCUGUUGGUUGUAGAUGUGUUGCAACGACUAUGUUGUCUACACUUCCAAAAUGGGUUGCUGCAGCAUCCGCUUGGCGUGGACUGCUUCUUUCCUGUGCUACAAUACGUAGAUGACACAUUGAUCAUCUUCAAGGGGGAUUUGCAGCAGGCCAUGAUGAAAGUGCAACUAUCCCUAGGUGGUUUUGGUAAUUCCUAA